This 26-nucleotide ribosomal RNA is filed under the name fungal endophyte sp. AP427. Its description in RNAcentral is "partial 28S ribosomal RNA". RNAcentral also lists the same sequence under 1 other name. The record is from RNAcentral. Lineage: Eukaryota; Fungi.
GGUUGACCUCGGAUCAGGUAGGAUAC